UGAACCACUAAACACACCACAUCAUUCCAUGACUUUCUUACAUUUCCAACUUGCAAACUUCCCCUCUUUCCCAUUCUUUAUUCACGGCAACCACACACCCCACUAUAUCCUCAUUUUCAUUCUCUAAAACACCAUAAUUUACAUCAUUAAAAAGCCAUUUUAAGGUGUUUAAGGAACUUGUAUGCUUGGAGAAUCAUUGGAGAUUAUUUUAGAGCUUUCAAGUCUUCUUAAUCUUUAUCUUAAAGUCCAUAAAUCCUUUGCAAAUUUGUUAUUACGCGCUAAUUGGAUACCCGAACUGCUAGCAUACAUACGGACGCAAACUUGUAACUAAGUGGAUCUUGGUGCAACAAAUUAUGAAGUUUCA
This is a long non-coding RNA of Helianthus annuus (common sunflower), 364 nucleotides long. RefSeq lists it as uncharacterized. Lineage: Eukaryota; Viridiplantae; Streptophyta; Magnoliopsida; Asterales; Asteraceae. The transcript is spliced from 3 exons. The record is from RefSeq and is a predicted model, not a curated record.